This 399-nucleotide ribosomal RNA is filed under the name uncultured Blautia sp. RNAcentral's name for it is "bacterial SSU rRNA". It matches the Rfam family "Bacterial small subunit ribosomal RNA", at positions 355 to 766 of the family's 1533-position model. The record is from RNAcentral. Lineage: Bacteria; Bacillati; Bacillota; Clostridia; Lachnospirales; Lachnospiraceae.
UGGGGAAUAUUGCACAAUGGGGGGAAACCCGUACGAUGCAGCGACGCCGCGUGAAGGAAGAAGUAUCUCGGUAUGUAAACUUCUAUCAGCAGGGAAGAUAGUGACGGUACCUGACUAAGAAGCCCCGGCUAACUACGUGCCAGCAGCCGCGGUAAUACGUAGGGGGGCAAGCGUUAUCCGGAUUUACUGGGUGUAAAGGGAGCGUAGACGGUGUGGCAAGUCUGAUGUGAAAGGCAUGGGGCUCAACCUGUGGACUGCAUUGGAACUGUCAUACUUGAGUGCCGGAGGGGUAAGCGGAAUUCGUGGUGUAGCGGUGAAAUGCUUAGAUAUCACGAAGAACUCCGAUUGCGAAGGCAGCCAUCUGGGGUAUUACUGACGCUGAGGCUCGAAAGUGCGGGU